Molecule: long non-coding RNA, 1159 nt
Filed under: Ananas comosus (pineapple)
Lineage: Eukaryota; Viridiplantae; Streptophyta; Magnoliopsida; Poales; Bromeliaceae
Description: long non-coding RNA (ACOM_LNC015212)
Source: RNAcentral
AGAUAGGACAAAUAUAACACGAUAAAUACUCGACCCGCCGUAGAAUCCACCACGUCGAACUCGAGCACACUCACCACUAUGCGGAAUCCACCAACACAAUGGUUGAGCAACACUCUUCUCUCACAGGAAAUCCACCUAAGAGAUAGGAGCAANACAAGCUUUACUUUGUAGUGCUCGGGUACAUCUUCAUAUUCAAAAAUUCGCUCCACAGUGUGAAGCCAAUCAAUGAACUCAUCAUGUUGCAUCCUCCCUUCGAACUCAGGAAUAUUAACUUUGAUGCCGAGGUCUCGGCGAAACUCAUUGUUUCUCCGAGGUUGUCGAUGUAGAGAACCUUCCUCACUAGGUGCCCGUCUACGAGCAUUAUGAAAUGGGUUGAUAUUCUCCUCGUCUUCUUGUUCUGAACCAUGACGAGAGUCGCCAUGUUCCAAAACUUCAAAGCGAGCAAGUCGCUCCUCAAGAAGUCGCACUUGUCUCCGCAACUCAUCUGCCCUCUCAACAUCUUGUAAAUCUCGCUCACGCGUUGCGGGAUCCUCCACGCGUGGACCACGCCUUCGGUUGUUAGCCAUCUUGAACCUAGAGCUCUGAUACCAAUCUGACGCCGGAACUUAGAGGGAACGCGGAGAUAGGACAAAUAUAACACGAUAAAUACUCGACCCGCCGUAGAAUCCACCACGUCGAACUCAAGCACACUCACCACUAUGCGGAAUCCACCAACACAAUGGUUGAGCAACACUCUUCUCUCACAGGAAAUCCACCUAAGAGAUAGGAGCAAGAAGAAAUCCUUCUUCUCAAAUAAAAGUAGAAACUUCAACUCAACUUGACUUGACUUUUCAUUAUAAAAUCAUUACAUAUUUAUAGGCUCUCAAAUGACCCUUCAUCUUCUCUACACAUUAAUGUACUCUUUAAUUUCAUAGAGAAACUAAAAGGCACUUUUAGGAAUACUAAAAGACGCACACAAAUCUAGACUAUCAUAACUCAUUUUAAGAAAACGAAAAGACAAUUAUAGAAAAACGCACAUAAUUCUAGACUAUCAUAACUCAUUUUAAGAAAACGAAAAGACAAUUAUAGAAAAACGAAGGGACACACUUAUUUCAAAACGAACAUUUAUUAAGUGAUUAAUGGCUUCAUCCAUCAACUUCAGGAACGGUGUCACUAGGAA